GUUUUUGGUCGGCUAUCUUUAAAACCAGGAAUGGGAAAUCGAGGAACGGAACGGAAUCGAGGAACGGAACGGAACGAGAAAAGCCGGAAACUUUAAAACCCGGAAUAAGAAAAGCCGGAAUCUUUAAAACCCGGAUUGAGAAAACCCGCAAUCCUUAACAUGAGUAACAUACGCGAGUAAAACACAAGUACAUACGAGUGGAAUACGAGUAUACAUACGAGUAGAAUACGAGUAAAAUACGAGUAAAAUCCGAGUAAAAUACGAGUAGCAAACUUCUCUGUCGAAAAACGUGAAAUAGACUGAAACCGGCUAUGUUUAAAACGGGGAAUGGGGGGACGGAGAAUGGGAGAACGGGGAAUGGGGGGACGGGGAAUGGGUGAACGGGGAAUGUAGGAACGUGGAAUGGGGGAACGAGGGACGGGGAAGGACAGGGGAAUCGGGGAAUUAUAUAUACGGGGGAAAAAAGAACAGAAAAAGGAAACAGAAAUUCGACAGGAUAAACUGGAAUCGGGAAAUUACGAAACUAUAAAAUGGACUCUGGUGUCUUGGGAAUUAGAAAACCGCUCAAUGAAUUAAAAAGUAAAGAAAUUUAGCGGAGCUUUCCUUUAUUAGUACAG
This is a non-coding RNA of Paramuricea clavata, 617 nucleotides long. Lineage: Eukaryota; Metazoa; Cnidaria; Anthozoa; Malacalcyonacea; Plexauridae. The record is from the annotation of a GenBank genome assembly.